Drosophila pseudoobscura is the source of this 2035-nucleotide RNA transcript. It is a transcript of the gene named probable nuclear transport factor 2, with no coding region annotated. The record is from RefSeq and is a predicted model, not a curated record. NCBI's taxonomy places the organism in Eukaryota, Metazoa, Arthropoda, Insecta, Diptera, Drosophilidae. The transcript is spliced from 3 exons.
AUUUUUGACGUAACCCAGAUCAGAUGGUUAUUUAUGUACACUGUGUACUUCAUUAUGUUUUCGAAGCAUGGAGUAUAUAUAGUGGAUGUCCAUUCCGUAGUUGUUCCAUAAGCAGGUGCAAAAUGUUACGAGCUCCAAGACUUUGCGGGAUUUUGUUGGUUCUACUAGCCAUGGCUGUGGCCAGGCCUGAACGAGAUCAUGUUCGAUCUUCAAGUAAGUGGCCAAUAGUCGGUGCGGACGUGGGAAUUGCUGGAUAUAAAAGUAAAGGACAGGCAGAGAAACCCGAGAAGGAUUCUAGAGAAGCAAAAGAACAGGCACGAGACGAAUAUUCCGAAGAUGCAAGGGAAGAAUUAUUUGAAAAAUAUGAAGAAUCAUUUAGAGAAUCAUCGAAUGAAUUUGCUGGAGAAUCUUUUAAAGUGUUGCUUAAGCAACUUCGACAACAAGAAACAUCUACUCAACCACCUUUAGAUGGACCAAGUGCUUUACCAUCGAUGCCAUCAGGUGAAAUAUCUACGGGAUCAGGUGACCAAGCAAAUAUGGGACAAACUGUUCCACCAUCGGUGCCAUCAGGUGAAAUAAGUACGGGAUCAGGUGACCAAGCAAAUAUGGGACAAACUGUUCCACCAUCGGUGCCAUCAGGUGAAAUAAGUACGGGAUCAGGUGACCAAGCAAAUAUGGGACAAACUGUUCCACCAUCGGUGCCAUCAGGUGAAAUAAGUACGGGAUCAGGUGACCAAGCAAAUAUGGGACAAACUGUUCCACCAUCGGUGCCAUCAGGUGAAAUAAGUACGGGAUCAGGUGGCCAAGGAAAUAUGGGACCAACGGUUGCAACGAUGCUAUCAAGUGAAAAACCUACGGGAUCAGGUGGCCAAGUAACUAUGGGACCAAGUGACCAAGGAAAUAUGGGACCAACUGUUCCAACGCUGGGAUCAGGUGAAAUAACUACGGGAUCAGGCGGCCAAGCAACUAUGGGACCAACUGUUCCACCAACAAUGGGAUCAGGUGAAAUAACUACGGGAUCAGGUGGCCAAGCAACUAUGGCACCAACUGUUCCACCAACUAUGGGACCAGGUGACCAAGCAACUAUGGCACCAACUGUUCCACCAACUAUGGGAUCAGGUGACCAAUCAACUAUGGGAUCAAGUGAGCAAUCAACUAUGGCAUCGAAGCCAGAAACAACCAAAGAAACGAGUCUGGGAUCGACUGCGCAGACAAGCCCGCAAACAUCUGAGAGUCCUGGCAAGACAACAACCGAGAUGCCAGAAGAAUGGACUGAAGAUUGGCCCGAAGAAGAAGAAGAAUCAAGCGAAGAUCUUUUUGAGGAGAUAGCGGAAGAAAUUUGUUCAUGGUUAAUAGAAUGGUUAUGUUGGUAAUGAUAAAACUCUACGAGUAACUUAUACUUUACAACAGAUGAGCCUUCGAUUUUGUUUUCGUACGUUUUUCAUCAGACUAUGUUUGAAACUAAGCUCAAAUUGUUUUGAAUUAUAUUGAGGAAACAAUAAAUUGUGCAAUAAUGACUUCAAUUGUGGUUGCUUACGUAUUUGUGUUGCUUUUGCUGAUGAUCCAUAUCAAAGCCAUAGCCAUACCCAACAUGGAUCCGUUCUUAAACCAGCCUGAUACGGACUAUGAAGAUGUGGAAGAAUGGGGCGCAAUUUAAGGUCCGCAAAGAAGGUCCACCUAUAAACACUGACACUACACUGAAUAAUUGAGCGGUGCCAACCACAUUCAAUCGUUAGGCCCCUCACAUGUAACAUUUUCAGGUGCGACCUAUGCCCUCCGCCCACCCAUCAGUACUCAUCAUGGCAAGGCCCUGGUUAUAAUAUUUACACGCGAUUCACACAGAGAAAGCCUUGAAAUAACAUCGAUCACAGCUACACCCGAUAUGGACCUAUUUUUAGUGGACAGCCUCAUCUCGUGGAGGUGAUUCCCCAUAAUCUGUUGAUGCCCCUCAAGACUGGUGUGCUCAUAGAGUGGAAUCAACUAUACUUCCAAAACUUUUGAAGAAAUAAUUACAAAUUAAACAUAUAGAAUCAUA